This is a long non-coding RNA of Cucurbita maxima (winter squash), 990 nucleotides long. RefSeq lists it as uncharacterized. The record is from RefSeq and is a predicted model, not a curated record. The transcript is spliced from 2 exons. Lineage: Eukaryota; Viridiplantae; Streptophyta; Magnoliopsida; Cucurbitales; Cucurbitaceae.
CGACAUUUGCACAGGUGGGGAUCUAACCAUUGGUCGUUCAAGUGGUAAUUGGUGGCUUAUCCAAUAGAUUUGGUUGUUUUUCUUUGACCAAUUGUUUGAGGUAACUCGAUUAUGCAUAUUAGAUUUUGGUCGUUUUUCUUUGACCAAUUGUUUGAGUAACAAAGCUUGCAAUGGAGCUCAAUUUUUAGCUUUACGACCCCAUUGUUAUGGCUAAUGGCUUUUCACUUUCACGAGACACUCUGGAGUUGUUCGAUGAUGAAUUGCUUUGCCUUUGAUUGCCGUCCUCCUUAUAAGCCUGACACCCUGCAUCACUUUGAGGGGAUUCAUUAGGAGUAUUAUUAUCGGCAUUUUCGUUAUUUGUUGCCGCUGCAUCUUCGUUCACAACUAAGCCAAGGGAGACUCUAAAACCACAUGCACGUGAGAUGAUUCUAUACAAGAAAGUUAAGAACCAAAAGAACCAAGGGAGGCAGACCAAUGAUAAGCCUGCGACCGGUAGCCACGCGGUGUUUUCGGUCUCAGGUAGGGUAACAUACAUCAAAAGGCAUCCGCCGCCGCUGAGAACAGAGAGGAAGAGAAUGAAAGUAACGAUCCAUAUUAAUACACGUCCAACUGAUGGAUCGACCAAAGACAUUUGGUUUUAGACCUCUCAAUGGAUCAAAAGAGGGAUGAAAGCUUCAAAGCCUGAGUUAGAAAGAUGAUCUUCUUCGUGUGACCAUCUUCCAUCUUCCUCAUUUAGACACGUUAUGAAUCAAAAGCUCGUGAUAGAGUUGAACCGAAGGCAAUCAAGAUUGUUUUGUGAUCAAUUGUGAACCGAAAAAAUUUGAAGAAGUGAGAGGGAGGAUGAUCAUGAAGGGUCUUGCACGCAAAGGAUUGGUUUGAAAACUUUGUGGAGAGAUCCUCACGAGUUUCAGUUUGGAGGAACAAUAUCUACAAAAAAAUUUGGUCAUGUUUUUUUUUUAAUGGUGUUGCGCAAUUUCAGCUCUCUCAAAA